RNAcentral lists this long non-coding RNA (962 nucleotides) under Nicotiana benthamiana. Its description in RNAcentral is "long non-coding RNA (NBEN_LNC010972)". The record is from RNAcentral. Lineage: Eukaryota; Viridiplantae; Streptophyta; Magnoliopsida; Solanales; Solanaceae.
UUAAUUGGUCUUUUCGAAAAUUAAGUAGUAACAGAGACUUGAUCAUUACAGAGUAUAAAGGCAUCAUUAUUUAUCUAUCUUGGCAUAUUGUAAGUCCAGACCCCACUUUGUGGGACUAUACUGGGUAGUUGUUGUUGUAUACUGUAAGUCACAACAAUCUCACAUUAGAUAUCGCUAUCGAGAAGGAAUCUGAUUAAAAGGAUUCAAAAUUCUAGUCCCAAACUCCCCAAAAAUUCUGAAAAUCAUUGAAAGGAAAAAAAAAACUCAAGUCCAUUCAAUUGGAUGAUAAUUGGUUAGAAAGUGGUAACUAUUGAAUUUUAUAGAACACUAGAACAAUGUAGUGGACUACAGGAGGGUAAAGAUACACUCAGAUGACAAAAGCAUAGUAGUGGGAUGUGCUCAGUUAGCUCAGCAUACAAAGAUUUGAACCGGGAGGGAUCUCAACUCAAUUCAUGGCCUUGAAAACACAUAUGGAAAGUAAAAGUGCCUUAUAAAGUGGCAUGUUUUACCUGGUUGGUAAUUAGGAAGGCUGUCCUCAUUCAGGAUAAUCUAAGGAAGAGGGGUAUACCAAUUGUUUCAAGAUGUUAUUUGUGUGGGAAUGAUGCUGAGACAAUCAGCCAUCUGUUUCUUCAUUAUAGAGUGACCAGCCAAUUAUGGGAUUUGUUCAUGAAUCUCAGAGGUGCUAGAUGAUAAUGCCGAGGAGCACCUCUGAACUUUUAUUAUGCUGGAACACAAAGGUAGACUUUACCACAGAUGGAAAAUAUCCCAACAACUAUUUGGUGGACAAUUUGGAAAGAAAUGAACCUGAGAUGCUUUGAAGAUAGAACCAACUCUCUACAAAAGAUUAAAACCAGCCGAUUAAGGGAUUUGUUCAUUAAUCUCAGAGGUGCUAGAUGGGUAAUGCCAAGGAGAACCUCUGAUCUUUUAAUAUGCUGGAACAUAGAGGUAGACUUUACCACAGA